Molecule: ribosomal RNA, 987 nt
Filed under: Triticum aestivum (bread wheat)
Lineage: Eukaryota; Viridiplantae; Streptophyta; Magnoliopsida; Poales; Poaceae
Description: partial small subunit ribosomal RNA
Source: RNAcentral
AUGACAAUCGCCCAGUAUUGUCGCCGCCUCCAGCAGCUCGCCUCCGCCAUGGCCGACGUGGGUGAACCGGUCACGGAUAGGUCGCUCACUCUGCAGCUCAUCCGCGGCCUCAGCCGCCGCUUCCACGUCAUGGCCACUCUUCUCCCGAUGAAGCAGCCGUUCCCCACCUUCCUGCAGGCGCGGUCGCGCUUGCUCUUGGAGGAGAUCGGCCUCACCGAGCGGGAGCGGGCCGCUGACGCCACGGCGCUCGCCGUCGGCCACGGUAGGUCCUCCUCGUCCAGCGGCGCGUCCGCUGGAGAUCACGCGCCUCCUUCAUCACCGUAUGACAAGGGCAAGUCUUCUGCCACUAGCGGGGGCUCGGGCAGUCCCUCCGGCGACCGCCAGUGCGGUGGGCGCGGCCGUGGUCACCCCGGGGCCUCCAGCUCCACCGGCGGGCGCGGCCAGCCGGCGCAGCAGCCCUGGAUGGGCUACUUCGCCCCCUUUGGUGCCCCGCUGCCCACGCCCCAGCAGUGGCGGGCUCCCUGGACGCCGCCCAACGCCGCGGGUGUUCUUGGACCUCGUCCCGCCGCGCCGCAACACGCCUACCGCGUCAUCAGCUCGUCCUCCUCCGCCCUGCAGUACGACCAGCAGGCGCUCCUGUCCCAGUUCGCCAACAUGCAGGUGCAGCAACCGCCAUCUGGGUCCGAAUGGUACAUGGACACCGGCGCCACCUCGCACAUAGCCGGGACGUCAGGUACCCUCACCACCGUCUCCCCUUCAUCGCAUUAUCGAUCUAGCAUAACUGUCGGCAAUGGUUCUGUACUCCCUGUUGUUUCAUGCGGCUCUACUUCCCUUCCUCCCUUUCAUCUCAAUGAAAUACUUAUUUCCCCCGGCAUCAUACAAAACCUUAUUUCUGUCCGUCGUUUUACUCGUGACAAUUGGUGUAUUGUGGCCUUUGACCCGUUUGGCUUUUCUGUGAAGGACAUGCAACGGGGAAGGUGCUCAUGA